CCACGGACACCAUACGCCGGAUUCGAGCUAUAAUCAUGGCCAUCAGAUUUGAUUGGAGACGAGACGCUGGAUGGCAACAAGUGUCGGUACUGGUUGGCAGCUAGGACUACGUGUACUGGAGCGACUGGAGCAGCGGGGACAUUGAUCAAGACUGGCCAGAGCCACAGCCUCGCCAAGGACGUGCCCUGCAUCCCCGCCAGCUACGCCAAACUGCCCAAAUGUCGGUGUCCGGCAAGAAUAUCCGUGCCCAGCUUCUUGGGCGAACUUGCAGAAGCCUCGCAACAUUGCCGUGCAUGCCAUGAAGGUGAGGCGGCUGCUCUUCUGCUCAGAUGUCGGCAGUCAUCAGGCCAUCCGGACAGAUAAUUUUAAGUGGCGGGGAGUAGUGACAUGAACAACGACUGUAUAUCCGCCUUCUAGCGCUGAGACGAAAAGACUGCCCGGCAGAUUCAGCUGAUAGUCAGCCGAGGGCAACGACAAGGCUCUGAUCUGCAAUCGUACCACCUGUGACAACUGUGAAAAUGUCCACGACGAGGCCGACUGCUGCAAGCGGCCAGGAGAUUUUCAGUGAGAUUUUCAACAAGCUUUGCAUAUCGGCCGCCCUGCUCUGCGAUGGCUGGGAACUCUGCCCGAGCUAAAGAAUCGACUUCUAAUGGCUCCAUCGAAGAUAAUAAAUAAAACAGUAAGCAGGAAGCACGCCGUCAAGCACUCCCUUUUAAAGACUUUAAAAACACAAUAGAGAAUCUGCAGGAUAUUUCAUUUGAGGUGCAACGCGACCAAGCUGCGGAUGAAGAUGGAGCGAAAAGACUGGACGAGUGUGCCAGGUUACCACUACCACAAUGCCUUCUACAAGGACCCCAGGUCCAAAGGCGAUACCAGUUUAAGGUGGUAUAAACAGCAGUCAAGUUUUCGCGGAGUAUAGUCCGGUCCAACAUUCCACGAGCUCGAGAGGCAUCGAGAGCCAGCUCGCCUACUUGCAUACCCAGCCGCGAGGAAACUAAGGAGCUGAGUUAAAGGUUGAGCUGGCCAACGCUUUCAGCAAGAACGAGGUGCGAGUGGCCCAGAUCUUGCGGGACCGGAUAAAAUGAAAAAAGAAACACGUAUUUAAGGAUGUGUUAUGUGGUGGAUGUGUGCAACACCAGAAGGAAGCGGCUUCUUACCCCAUAAAGUAUGUUUAUUCUGGAUCAGCAUCAAUAACCUAGCCGAUAUAGCCAUGUCUGUCUGUCCGUCAGAUGAGCGCUUAGAUCUCGGAGACUAUAAUAGCAAGAGCAACGCUACGCAAACCUUUCCAUGCGCCUAAUCAUUCUCUCUCUCUCACACACACACUCUUCCUCGUGCUGUGCGCGUUACCGGCGGAAAGAAGCGAGACAGAAACACUGCUGGUGUUGGUAUGAGAAGAGGGAGAGAGAGAAUAAAAAACUGUUGAGGAAAAAUACAAGCAAAUGAAAUAUUCUAAAACUAAUAAAAUGCUUAAUAGGUGAAUAGAGGAUAAACGGAGAGCAACAAUUAACAUGAAAUCAUAACUAGUGGUCGUGGUUCCUCUCUAUUUGUCUCUCUAGAGAGAUAGAGAAUACUGCAGUCAUCAGCUCCGAUACCAACUCUGUGGCUUACGUAUAAUUAGGUAUGAAAUAUUUAUAUUUUGUAAGUUGUAUAAAUCAUAAGGCUCUCCCAUUGUAUGUACUGACUUAGUGGCCAAAUACUGCUUAUAGCAAUUUCUCUACGGUUCUGUCUGUGCUUAGAUUUACUUUUCUGAGUUCAGCUUUUCGUGACAAAGCACCUGCGAAAAACUAGCACAACGAAUUCAAUAAUGGAGGAACCAUAAUCAAUAAAGGAACCAGGAUACAUUCAAUACUGCAUGAACAUUCGGCCAUCAAAAAUAAUUGUUCUUGUAGGAUACUUCAUAAUUGACAAAUGCCCCAAAAAAAAUCUCAUCAAUUGAUGCUAAGAUGUGAUAUCCAAAUGCAGUCGUGGUCACUAAUCAUGGAUAAAAGAAUAUGAGCCCGAACACACAACAAUUGAUGCUAUGGGUGUUUUAAAACGGUGCAAAUUCUAAACCAAAUGUUAAAAACUGGUCAUGCCCCAACUUUUUGGGUAAAGAAAAGUAGGGAGAUCAUUCUGACAUUUUGAGAGCCAGAAGGGGUGCGAAAGUAGGUUAAAACUUCAAAAAAAUUGAUAUUCAUCGU
This is a long non-coding RNA of Drosophila persimilis, 2180 nucleotides long. RefSeq lists it as uncharacterized. The record is from RefSeq and is a predicted model, not a curated record. Lineage: Eukaryota; Metazoa; Arthropoda; Insecta; Diptera; Drosophilidae. The transcript has 4 exons.